Molecule: ribosomal RNA, 428 nt
Filed under: uncultured Acidobacteriota bacterium
Lineage: Bacteria; Pseudomonadati; Acidobacteriota
Description: bacterial SSU rRNA
Rfam family: Bacterial small subunit ribosomal RNA
Source: RNAcentral
AGUAGGGAAUUGUUCGCAAUGGGCGCAAGCCUGACGACGCAACGCCGCGUGGAGGAUGAAGGGCUUCGGCUCGUAAACUCCUUUCGACCGAGAUGAAUACCCACAGGGCUAAUAUCCCUGUGGACUGACAGUAUCGAGGGAAGAAGCCCCGGCUAACUCCGUGCCAGCAGCCGCGGUAAUACGGGGGGGGCAAGCGUUGUUCGGAAUUACUGGGCGUAAAGGGUUCGUAGGUGGUCAACUAAGUCAUACGUGAAAUCCCUCAGCUUAACUGGGGAACUGCGUCUGAUACUGGUUGACUUGAGUGCAGGAGAGGAACGCGGAAUUCCAGGUGUAGCGGUGAAAUGCGUAGAUAUCUGGAGGAACACCGGUGGCGAAGGCGGCGUUCUGGACUGUAACUGACACUGAGGAACGAAAGCCAGGGGAGCAAA